UACGUAGGUGGCAAGCGUUGUUCGGAAUUACUGGGCGUAAAGCGCGUGUAGGCGGCUCUUCAAGUCAGGCGUGAAAGCCCCGGGCUUAACUCGGGAACUGCGCUUGAUACUGUCGAGCUAGAGUGUAGAAGGGGCGAUUGGAAUUCCGUGUGUAGCGGUGAAAUGCGUAGAUAUACGGAGGAACACCAGAGGCGAAGGCGGAUCGCUGGGCCAACACUGACGCUGAGACGCGAAAGCUAGGGGAGCAAACGGG
RNAcentral lists this ribosomal RNA (253 nucleotides) under uncultured bacterium. RNAcentral's name for it is "partial 16S ribosomal RNA". It matches the Rfam family "Bacterial small subunit ribosomal RNA", at positions 524 to 776 of the family's 1533-position model. The record is from RNAcentral.